RNAcentral lists this ribosomal RNA (1291 nucleotides) under metagenome. RNAcentral describes it as "bacterial LSU rRNA". It matches the Rfam family "Bacterial large subunit ribosomal RNA", at positions 1651 to 2925 of the family's 2925-position model. The record is from RNAcentral.
AAACCGACUCAGGUGGACGGGGUGAAUAUCCCAAGGCGCGUGAGAGAACCCUGGUUAAGGAACUCUGCAAAUUGACACCGUAACUUCGGGAGAAGGUGUGCCGCUGGCGGUUAGUGACUUCGCGUCACGAAGCUGUUGGUGGUCGCAGUGAAAUGGCGGUUGUGACUGUUUACUAAAAACACAGGACUCUGCGAAGUCGUAAGACGACGUAUAGGGUCUGAUGCCUGCCCGGUGCUGGAAGGUUAAGGGGAUAUGUCAGAGCAAUCGAAGCAUUGAACCGAAGCCCCAGUAAACGGCGGCCGUAACGAUAACGGUCCUAAGGUAGCGAAAUUCCUUGUCGGGUAAGUUCCGACCUGCACGAGGGCAUAACAACAUCCGCACUGUCUCGACCAGGGACUCAGCGAAAUUACAUUGGGGGUGAAGAUGCCCUCUACCCGCGGAAAGACGGAAAGACCCCAUGAACCUUUACUGCAACUUGGCAGUGAUUUUCGGGUUGUUCUGCGUAGGAUAGGUGGUAGGCUUUGAAGUCGGGCUUCCGGGUUCGACAGAGCCAACGUUGAAAUACCACCCUGAAUAAUCUGGAAAUCUAACCUGCGCCCAUGAUCUGGGCGAGGGACACUGCCUGGUGGGCAGUUUGACUGGGGCGGUCGCCUCCUAAAUUGUAACGGAGGCGUGCGACGGUUCCCUCAGGCUGAUUGGAAACCAGCCGUAGAGUGCAAACGCAUAAGGGAGCUUUACUGCGAGACUGACAAGUCGAACAGUUGCGAAAGCAGGUGUUAGUGAUCCGGUGGUACCACAUGGAAGGGCCAUCGCUCAUCGGAUAAAAGGUACUCUGGGGAUAACAGGCUGAUCGCGCCUGAGAGUUCACAUCGGCGGCGCGGUUUGGCACCUCGAUGUCGGCUCAUCGCAUCCUGGGGCUGGAGCAGGUCCCAAGGGUUUGGCUGUUCGCCAAUUAAAGCGGUACGCGAGCUGGGUUUAAAACGUCGUGAGACAGUUUGGUCCCUAUCUUCCGUGGGCGCAGGACACUUGCGAGGAGCUAUCCAUAGUACGAGAGGACCUGGAUGGACGAACCUCUGGUGCUCCGGUUGUCACGCCAGUGGCAUAGCCGGGUAGCCAUGUUCGGAACAGAUAACCGCUGAAGGCAUAUAAGCGGGAAGCUGGCCUCAAGACUAGGUGUCCCUGACGCAAGUCACUAAAGGCCCCUCGAAGACUACGAGGUUGAUAGGCUAGGUGUGGAAGCACAGCGAUGUGCGGAGCUAACUAGUACUAAUAGGCCGUGCGACUUGACCUC